RNAcentral lists this ribosomal RNA (492 nucleotides) under uncultured bacterium. RNAcentral describes it as "partial 16S ribosomal RNA". It matches the Rfam family "Bacterial small subunit ribosomal RNA", at positions 29 to 507 of the family's 1533-position model. The record is from RNAcentral.
AGUGAACGCUGGCGGUAGGCCUAACACAUGCAAGUCGAACGGCAGCACAGUAAGAGCUUGCUCUUACGGGUGGCGAGUGGCGGACGGGUGAGGAAUACAUCGGAAUCUACUUUUUCGUGGGGGAUAACGUAGGGAAACUUACGCUAAUACCGCAUACGACCUACGGGUGAAAGCAGGGGAUCUUCGGACCUUGCGCGAUUGAAUGAGCCGAUGUCGGAUUAGCUAGUUGGCGGGGUAAAGGCCCACCAAGGCGACGAUCCGUAGCUGGUCUGAGAGGAUGAUCGGCCACACUGGAACUGAGACACGGUCCAGACUCCUACGGGAGGCAGCAGUGGGGAAUAUUGGACAAUGGGCGCAAGCCUGAUCCAGCCAUACCGCGUGGGUGAAGAAGGCCUUCGGGUUGUAAAGCCCUUUUGUUGGGAAAGAAAAGCAGCAGGUUAAUACCCCGCUGUUCUGACGGUACCCAAAGAGUAAGCACCGGCUAACUUCGUG